This 505-nucleotide ribosomal RNA is filed under the name uncultured bacterium. Its description in RNAcentral is "partial 16S ribosomal RNA". It matches the Rfam family "Bacterial small subunit ribosomal RNA", at positions 28 to 507 of the family's 1533-position model. The record is from RNAcentral.
GACGAACGCUGGCGGCGUGCCUAAUACAUGCAAGUAGAACGCACAGUUUAUACCGUAGCUUGCUACACCAUAAACUGUGAGUUGCGAACGGGUGAGUAACGCGUAGGUAACCUGCCUGGUAGCGGGGGAUAACUAUUGGAAACGAUAGCUAAUACCGCAUAAUAUUGAUUAUUGCAUGAUAAUUGAUUGAAAGAUGCUAUUGCAUCACUACCAGAUGGACCUGCGUUGUAUUAGCUAGUAGGUGAGGUAACGGCUCACCUAGGCGACGAUACAUAGCCGACCGGAGAGGGUGGUCGGCCAAACUGGGACUGAGACACGGCCCAGAAUCCUUCGGGGGGCAGCAGUAGGGAAUCCUCGGCAAUGGACGAAAGUCUUACCGAGCAACGCCGCGGGAGUGAAGAAGGUUUUCGGAUCGUAAAGCUCUGUUGUAAGAGGAGAACGGGUGUGAGAGUGGAAAGUUCACACUGUGACGGUAUCUUACCAGAAAGGGACGGCUAACUACGUG